GAGGGUAUAGCUCAAGCAGUAGAGCACAUGCUUAGCAUGCGUGAGUCCUGGGUUCAAUCCCCAGUACCUCCU
Molecule: transfer RNA, 72 nt
Filed under: Camelus dromedarius (Arabian camel)
Lineage: Eukaryota; Metazoa; Chordata; Mammalia; Artiodactyla; Camelidae
Also listed under: 1 other name
Rfam family: tRNA
About the family: Transfer RNA (tRNA) molecules are approximately 80 nucleotides in length.
Source: Rfam by way of RNAcentral